GCCUACGGGGCGCAGCAGUGGGGAAUAUUGCACAAUGGGGGAAACCCUGAUGCAGCGACGCCGCGUGAGUGAAGAAGUAUUUCGGUACGUAAAGCUCUAUCAGCAGGGAAGAAAAAAGUCCUUUGGACUUUGGACGGUACCUGACCAAGAAGCCCCGGCUAACUACGUGCCAGCAGCCGCGGUAAUACGUAGGGGGCAAGCGUUAUCCGGAUUUACUGGGCGUAAAGGGAGAGUAGACGGCAGCGCAAGUCUGGAGUGAAAUGUCGGGGGCCAACCUCGGACCUGCUUGGGAAAAUG
RNAcentral lists this ribosomal RNA (297 nucleotides) under uncultured bacterium. RNAcentral describes it as "partial 16S ribosomal RNA". It matches the Rfam family "Bacterial small subunit ribosomal RNA", at positions 337 to 635 of the family's 1533-position model. The record is from RNAcentral.